RNAcentral lists this long non-coding RNA (3251 nucleotides) under Sus scrofa (pig). RNAcentral describes it as "lncRNA (ENSSSCG00035018581.1)". Lineage: Eukaryota; Metazoa; Chordata; Mammalia; Artiodactyla; Suidae. The record is from RNAcentral.
UGGCAUAUGGAAGUUCCCAGGACAGGAAUUAAAUCUGAGCCACAGCUGUGACCUACACCACAGCUGCAGCAAGACCAGAUCUUUAACCCACUGUACCACAGCAGGAACUCCAGGUUUGUCCUCUUAGGAGGCUCUUUUAAAGUAAAACAUGGUGUUGGCACAAAGAAAAAUAGGCCACUGAAACUGAAGAACUUAUAAUCAGACACACAUGUAUGUGGAAACUGUGUUAGGUGCAGCACUUAUUAUACUCUUGAGAUUAGAUUUAGAUACAGAUCCCCAAACUGGAAACCCAAAAGUCCAUCAAUGCAUGAAUAUAAGCCAAUAAAUAGCUAUAGAAGAGCAUAAUAUUCAGCAAUAAAAAUUUAUGAACAACUGAUAUUUGCCAACAACAUACAUGAAUCUCAAAAAUCACUAUGCUAAGUGAAAGAACCCAGGCAAAAGAGCACCUAAACACAUGCAUUUAUUAUACAAAUUCAAUUUACAUAAAAUUCUAUAAUAUGCCAACUAACCCACAGUGACCUAAAGGUCAGUGGUUGCUUGACAUUUGGGAUGGAGCAUGGGAUGACCUGCAAUAAGCGGGAGGAAAGAUUUGGGUUAAAUGUUCAUUAUCUUGACUGUGGUGGUGGUUUCUCAGGUGAACACGUGACUUAAAACUACGUGUCAGUUUCAUUAUGUACAGUUGAUUGCACUCCAAAUACACCUCAUUUUUAAAAAAUGAGACGGGUCCAGUUCAAAGAGAAGGGGUUCAAAAUAUGACAAAAGAGAUAAUAAUUAUCCUUAGUUUGUGGACAAAUGGGAAUGGGUUACAAAGAGGUUUGGAAAAGCCAUAGAGAGAGUAAACUGGUCAGAGAAAUAUUACCAGGCAACAUGUAAGACCCACCUGAAGCUGGUGAUGUCCAGUACAGAGUAGAACUACCCGCUCUACUCUCUCUCCAGCAGUUUUCAGCUGCUUUUGAGUAAAUACCAAGAAAGAAAAUAGAGCACAUGUCAUUUAUUGUGCUUCAUAUAAAUGGCAUUUUUUUACAUAUUGAAGGUUUGUGGCACCGUGAGUCGAAGGAAACUAUCUGGGCUGUUUUUCCAACAGUACCUGCUCACCUCAUGUACCUAUGUCACAUUUUGCUACUUCUACCAAUAUUUUAAACUUUUUUUUUUACUAUUAUUCUAUUUGUUAAGGUUAUAUAUAUAACAUCAGUGACCUUUGAUGUUACUACCAUGAUUUGCUGAAGGUUCUCAGAUGCUGGUUCACACUUUUUAGCAAUGAAAUAUUUUUAACGUGGAAGGAAUUUUUAAAGUUGAGGAUUAACAGAAUCAGAGCAAGUCUAAAACAGUGAGCAAAAGCACAGAGCCUAAAGCCAGACAACCUGGGUUUGUAUCUGACUUUUCCCACUUCCUUGCUUUGUAACUCUAAGCAUGGUAAACUUUCUAGGCCUCAGUUUUCUUAACUUCAAAAUGGGUAAUAGGUCUUUCUCCACAGGAUCACUAGGAACAUUAAGUUGAUUAUUUGUAUAUAAAGCAUUUAAAAUAGUACCUGGCAUAUAAUAAGCACUAAAUAAGUGCUAACUACCAUCAGUAUUAGAAAAGGCCAAAAUAAUUAUUGAUGUAUAAUGACUUUAUCAGAUGUCUUCCUUAAUUACAGUUUUUAAAUUGGCUAUAUAAGCCUGUGCUUAAUAAAAGUCUUGAAGGCUACAUUAUUCUAUAGUUUAUAGGAUGUUUGCAUUACUAAAUUUAAAUACAUAUAUUUCAAACGUGUACCCACAAUUUCAGGAAUGUAAUUCCAGUCACAGAAUUUCAGGGGUUUUUUUUUCCUGUCUUUUUUGUCUUUUUGCCUUUUCUAGGGCCGCUCCCACAGCAUAUGGAGGUUCCCAGGCUAGGGGUCAAGUCGGAGCUGUAGCCAGAGACCUACACCAGAGCCACCUAUGCCAGAGCCACAGCAACACGGGAUCCAAGCCUCGUCUGUGACCUACACCACAGCUCACGGCAACGCUGGAUCCUUAACCCACUGAGCAAGGCCAGGGAUGGAACCCACAACCUCAUGGUUCCAGUCAGAUUUGUGAACCACUGAGCCACAAUGGGAACUCCACAGAAUUUCAGUUUUAAUGGUCACAUUCUGACCCUUCCUGAAGAAUCAAGAUUUUUCUCACAGGCAAUAUUAUUAUUUUCAGAUAACUUGAAUUUGAUACAUGUCCAAGGUUGCUACUUCCUAAUUCCACUCCAUUCACAGGUCAUCUCAAGAGACUACUCAAGUAAGUUUCAUUUCCAAUGGUCAUGACUAUCCAUAUCAUCACCCACAUGGAAAGGAUGUAGUCAGUUUAGUUAAUCAAUAACGUCUUGAUGGGAAUGAUGGUAGCACUUGGUUUUAGUGUUAAAAUGCAAAGAUAAAUCUUAACUUUUUAUGACUAAGGUAAAAAUAAAUUCUUAAUCCAGUUAAAGGAUGCAUUAGUUCUUAAUGCCUCAUGGUACAAGUACUUCUUACCUUAAUUUUUGGUUCAUUCUGGUCCUAAUGAUACUCAUUAAAAACAGAUUGCCUGACUAUUGCUGAUUCUUGGGACACUAAUUUGCUCUAAAUAUGUUGUAUUUGCAAAUUGCAUUAAUUAUGCUCUAUCUCUCAGGAGCGUCAUGCCCAGGUAUUUUUCUGAAUACUUCCAUAAUUAUUCCUGUAAGACAUAGUACAAUUCACUGGAAAUUAGCACUUUAACUCAUUCUGAGAAUGGGGAAAUUACCAAAGAAAUCCUUUCAAGAAUCAUGUGAAAUGUAGACAAGAUAAAUAACUUUCAAAUGCUUAUUUUACCAAAUUGAAAAUUCAUUAUACACAUAUUUUUCAUGAUCUUAUUAACACUUUUUUGAAUCCUAAAACAUUACUUAAAAAUAGGUAACAUUUCCGCCAUAGCAAUCUGAAUCUAAAUCAAUGUAGCAGAAACAAAAUGGUAGUUAGAACUCUCAGUGUAAUAUUUUCAUUCUCAUUCCAAAGCAUUUAUUCUCAUCCAUAACUUCUGAGCUUUAACUUUCUGGUUUUAAUAUCUUUUUUAUAUUUAAGAAGUGCAUAAACUGAAAAAUUGGGAAUUAGCUCCACAUGAGUAACAACAAUAUACUUUAUCUGUCACCAUCUUAACACUCUGAGAACAAGAACAGUUAAUUUCCUCAUUUUUAUCGGUAAAGAUACAGCAUUAAUACUGCAUGAACACAGAGUUGCAUUUUCAUUUCCUAUUUUAAUUGAUAAAUGUGAUAAAAAUAAAAAUAAAGUAUAUUCCUUG